GAUGAAGAACGUAGCGAAAUGCGAUAAGUAAUGUGAAUUGCAGAAUUCAGUCAAUCAUCGAAUCUUUGAACGCACAUUGCGCCCGCCAGUAUUCUGGCGGGCAUGCCUGUUCGAGCGUCAUUACAACCCUCAGGCCCCCGGGCCUGGCGUUGGGGAUCGGCGGAAGCCCCCUGCGGGCACAACGCCGUCCCCCAAAUACAGUGGCGGUCCCGCCGCAGCUUCCAUUGCGUAGUAGCUAACACCUCGCAACUGGAGAGCGGCGCGGCCACGCCGUAAAACACCCAACUUCUGAAUGUUGACCUCGAAUCAGGUAGGAAUACCCGCUGAACUUAAGCAUAUCAAUAAGCGGAGGA
This 353-nucleotide unclassified non-coding RNA is filed under the name soil metagenome. Its description in RNAcentral is "partial contains 5.8S ribosomal RNA, internal transcribed spacer 2, and large subunit ribosomal RNA". The stretch from base 1 to 120 matches the Rfam family "5.8S ribosomal RNA", at positions 35 to 154 of the family's 154-position model. The record is from RNAcentral.